UGGUAGGAGAAAAAGACGCAGGUGUGUCUUCCAAAAGAACUUAGUUUGUUUAGCACCUGGCUGAUUGCGGCACAAGGACUCGAGUUCAAAAUGGGCUGGGCUUUCAGAGGAACAGUGCCGUCCAAUGGCAGCGCCGGGAUCGCUGUGUGGCUCGUCUGAUUUACGCAAACGUGGUUCAUAGUGGCUCAAGUGUAAACUACAGUACAUCGCAGGAAGGAAGAGGACCUGGUGGUGGGGGUUGGGAGCAGGAUCCCAGACCAUAAAACCUGGCAGCCUCCCUCCUGCAUUGUUCACCACCACUAUUCCAGCCCAGUUUCACUGUUUUCUCCCUGUGCUGUGUGUAUCCUGUCCUUUAAGAGGCAGUAAAUGUUGUUGUUGUUGUUCAUCAGACAAACAUGAAUCCUGACCAGCCUUCUCGUCUUCCUUUGUUCUUACCAUGAAGACUCUUGAAGGCAGGAAGAAGGUUGUGCUAAAGAAGCAAAUUAAUAACCUGGUUAUAAAGUUUGACACAGGCCUCAUAUGGGUCCAAUCAGACACACAUUAGGUUGCAUGCAGCAUGCAUUACACUGAAUAGAAAGCACAACAAAUAUAUAAAAUUCCAGCCUUUCAGCUGGAUGCUAACAUAUCCAAAU
Long non-coding RNA from Perca flavescens (yellow perch), 632 nucleotides. RefSeq lists it as uncharacterized. Lineage: Eukaryota; Metazoa; Chordata; Actinopteri; Perciformes; Percidae. The record is from RefSeq and is a predicted model, not a curated record. The transcript is spliced from 3 exons.